RNAcentral lists this ribosomal RNA (721 nucleotides) under uncultured bacterium. Its description in RNAcentral is "bacterial SSU rRNA". It matches the Rfam family "Bacterial small subunit ribosomal RNA", at positions 672 to 1400 of the family's 1533-position model. The record is from RNAcentral.
UGUGUAGCGGUAAAAUGCGUAGAUAUAUGGAAGAACACCAGUGGCGAAGGCGGCCGCCUGGCCUGUUGCUGACGCUGAGGCACGAAAGCGUGGGGAGCAAAUAGGAUUAGAUACCCUAGUAGUCCACGCCGUAAACGAUGAGGACCAAGUGUUGGGGGUGAAACCUCAGUGCUGAAGUUAACGCAGCGAGUCCUCCGCCUGGGGAGUAUGCACGCAAGUGUGAAACUCAAAGGAAUUGACGGGGGCCCGCACAAGCGGUGGAGUAUGUGGUUUAAUUCGAAGCAACGCGAAGAACCUUACCAGGCCUUGACAUGGGAUGCGAAGACGCAGAGAUGCGUUGGAGGCAAACAUCCACACAGGUGGUGCAUGGUUGUCGUCAGCUCGUGUCGUGAGAUGUUGGGUCAAGUCCCGCAACGAGCGCAACCCUUGUGGCAUGUUGCUAACAGGAAAGCUGAGGACUCAUGCCAGACUGCCGGUGACAAACCGGAGGAAGGCGGGGAUGACGUCAAAUCAUCAUGCCCCUUAUGGCCUGGGCUACACACGUACUACAAUGGCGGCUACAAAGAGCGGCGAGACAGUAAUGUCGAGCGAAUCUCAUAAAAGCCGUCCCAGUUCGGAUUGGAGCCUGCAACCCGGCUCCAUGAAGUUGGAAUCGCUAGUAAUCGCGGAUCAGCAUGCCGCGGUGAAUACGUUCCCGGGCCUUGCACACACCGCCCGUCAA